GACGAUCGCUUUGCAGGCGUGCCGCUUUCGUUUCUCUUUUUUUCAAGAUGAUUGACAAUCUUUCGCUCACGCGCUGAGCGCAUUCUUUGAAUGCGAGCGCUGCGCGAGCGCGGCCCAGAUGGGCGCGACGGACUAGCGUCCUGUAUUGGUGCUGACUGAUUUAUUGGUUGGCUGGAUACAAGGGCUUGUAGCUCAGUUGGUUAGAGCACACGCUUGAUAAGCGUGGGGUCGGAGGUUCAAGUCCUCCCAGGCCCACCAAAUAUGUGAUAAGGGGCCAUAGCUCAGCUGGGAGAGCACCUGCUUUGCAAGCAGGGGGUCGUCGGUUCGAUCCCGUCUGGCUCCACCAUCACUUUGUUUGGUGUGGAGUAGGACGGCAGUCAAUCAUCGAGGAAAGAAGCCAGUUUGCGGACUUUACGAAGUCUGCCUGUUCUGUAUGAAAUCGUGAAGAGAAGAUGUAAUCGGAUCAACUAUCCAGUUGAUGUCGCAAUGGUUUGCUCAAACCUUGCAUUAUGAUUGGACGCUAACCGCGCCACCGAUUGUAUCUCGAGAAGCUGGUCUUUCUGCUGAUAACGUUGAAGCUGAACAAGCAUUUGCAGUCAAAUGGCAACAUUUGACGUGGCAUAAUGCGUUGUAAGAAUGUUUGA
RNAcentral lists this transfer RNA (644 nucleotides) under Brucella anthropi. RNAcentral describes it as "Ochrobactrum anthropi partial contains 16S rRNA, ITS1, tRNA-Ile, tRNA-Ala and 23S rRNA". The stretch from base 182 to 255 matches the Rfam family "tRNA". The record is from RNAcentral. Lineage: Bacteria; Pseudomonadati; Pseudomonadota; Alphaproteobacteria; Hyphomicrobiales; Brucellaceae.